CAAAGGCUUAGUCCUGGCCUUACUGUCGGCUCUAGUCAAAAUUACACAUGCAAGUAUCCGCGCCCCCGUGAGGAUGCCCACAGUCCCCUGAAUGGAGACAUGGAGUAGGUAUCAGGCACAACAAUUAUAGCCCAAGACACCUUGUUUAGCCACACCCUCAAGGGUAUUCAGCAGUGACAGACAUUAAGCCAUGAGCGAAAGCUCUACUCAGUUAAGAUUAAGAGGGCCGGUGAAACUCGUGCCAGCCACCGCGGUUAUACGAGAGGCCCAAGUUGACAGAAAGCGGCGUAAAGAGUGGUUAGGGAAAAUUUUAAACUAAAGUCGAAAGUUCUCAAGACUGUUAUACGCCUGCUCGAGAACAUGAAGUUCAUCCACGAAAGUGACUUUACCUGACCUGACCCCACGAGAGCUGGGGCACAAACUGGGAUUAGAUACCCCACUAUGCCCAGCCGUAAACAUCGACCGAAUUUAACCAAUUUUGUCCGCCCGGGAAUUACGGACACUAGUCUAAAAACCAAAGGACUUGGCGGUGCUUUAUAUCCACCUAGAGGAGCCUGUUCUAUAACCGAUAACCCCCGUUUAACCUCACCCCCUCUUGCCUAAUCCGUCUAUAUACCGCCGCCGUCAGCAUACCCUGAGAAGGUAAAAUCGUGUGCAAAAUUGGCACAGCCUAAAACGUCAGGUCGAGGUGUAACGAAUGAGGGGGGAAGAAAUGGGCUACAUUUGCUUUGAUCAAGCACAUACGAAUUUUUCAUUGAAAUAUGAAAUUGAAGGAGGAUUUAGUAGUAAGCAGGAAAUAGAGAGUUCUGCUGAAACCGGCCCUGAAGCGCGCACAUACCGCCCGUCACCCUCACCAAGCGCCCGGACAACACUAAAUAAAAUAAUUCCGACAGCAAAGGGGAGGAAAGUCGUAACAUGGUAAGUGUACCGGAAGGUGCUCUUGGAUAAAA
RNAcentral lists this non-coding RNA (950 nucleotides) under Grammatobothus polyophthalmus (threespot flounder). RNAcentral describes it as "12S ribosomal RNA". It matches the Rfam family "Bacterial small subunit ribosomal RNA". Lineage: Eukaryota; Metazoa; Chordata; Actinopteri; Pleuronectiformes; Bothidae. The record is from RNAcentral.